Molecule: transfer RNA, 73 nt
Filed under: Loktanella salsilacus
Lineage: Bacteria; Pseudomonadati; Pseudomonadota; Alphaproteobacteria; Rhodobacterales; Roseobacteraceae
Also listed under: 2 other names
Rfam family: tRNA
About the family: Transfer RNA (tRNA) molecules are approximately 80 nucleotides in length. Their secondary structure includes four short double-helical elements and three loops (D, anti-codon, and T loops).
Source: Rfam by way of RNAcentral
GCCGCACUAGCUCAGUCGGUAGAGCACAUCAUUCGUAAUGAUGGGGUCGGGGGUUCGAAUCCCUCGUGCGGCA